This is a long non-coding RNA of Saccostrea cuccullata (small rock oyster), 467 nucleotides long. RefSeq lists it as uncharacterized. The record is from RefSeq and is a predicted model, not a curated record. The transcript has 3 exons. NCBI's taxonomy places the organism in Eukaryota, Metazoa, Mollusca, Bivalvia, Ostreida, Ostreidae.
GUGACUGUAGAGUAGGCCUAUUAUUGAUCAGUUUACAGUUGUUUAUAACACGAUGUAUUGUGAUAGAUAAUAUUACACUUAAAUUAUAAGCUGAUGUUCAGUUGAAGAUUCAACUCCAGAAAGAUAUUUUAACAAGCAACUUGAAAUGAAAUGAAACACUUUCCCACAUUUCUUAGUCUGGAAGUUUCUGCCAUUUUUAUACUUUGUCUUUUCCAAGCAAGACAUCAAACAAAUGGAGAACUUUCUACACGUUCACUACGUCUCGUACACAUAGUAUACAGACAUGGAGAUAGGAGUGCCAUGCGUGGAUAUCCUUUGGAUCCCAUUAAAGAAUAUAACUGGUCACAAGGAUACGGACAGUUAACAAAACUUGGGAUGGAUCAAGAAUACCGACUUGGACAAUCUGUGAGAGACUUGUACAUAAAAAAAAUUGGCUUCUUGUCAACUAACUACAAUAGAAGUAAGGU